CAGGUACAACAGAUAGCAACUUGAUAUAUUUCAAGAGGAAAGUCCGAGCUGCUAUAAGACAGUGUUCCAUUUAACUAAUGGCCGUAGUAAUGCGAGGGAAAGUGCAACAGAGAGCAGACUUCCAUUUUUAGUUUACUAAAAGUGGUAAAGGUGAAAGGGUGGGGUAAGAGCCCACCAGUCUUUAUAGCAAUAUAGAGAGCUUGUAAACCCAACAUGGCAGCAAGAAACAGGUGGUCAGCGUCUUAAUGGUGAAGCUUCGGCUUCGCUUAUGCUACUGUUUCGCUAGAGUUACUAUGUAAAUAGUAAAGUAGAUUAAUGCUAUCAAAACAAAACUCGGCUUAUAGUUGUACCUAACUA
RNAcentral lists this RNase P RNA (357 nucleotides) under Sulfurimonas sp. RIFCSPHIGHO2_12_FULL_36_9. RNAcentral describes it as "RNase P RNA component class A". It matches the Rfam family "Bacterial RNase P class A". From Rfam's summary of the family: Ribonuclease P (RNase P) is a ubiquitous endoribonuclease, found in archaea, bacteria and eukarya as well as chloroplasts and mitochondria. Its best characterised activity is the generation of mature 5'-ends of tRNAs by cleaving the 5'-leader elements of precursor-tRNAs. Cellular RNase Ps are ribonucleoproteins. Lineage: Bacteria; Pseudomonadati; Campylobacterota; Epsilonproteobacteria; Campylobacterales; Sulfurimonadaceae. The record is from RNAcentral.